AUUGAACGCUGGCGGCAUGCUUUACACAUGCAAGUCGAACGGCAGCGCGGGCUUCGGCCUGGCGGCGAGUGGCGAACGGGUGAGUAAUGCAUCGGAACGUGCCCAGUCUUGGGGGAUAGCCCGGCGAAAGCCGGAUUAAUACCGCAUACGACCUGAGGGUGAAAGCGGGGGACCGAAAGGCCUCGCGCUAUUUGAGCGGCCGAUGUCGGAUUAGCUAGUUGGUGGGGUAAAGGCUUACCAAGGCGACGAUCCGUAGCUGGUCUGAGAGGACGACCAGCCACACUGGGACUGAGACACGGCCCAGACUCCUACGGGAGGCAGCAGUGGGGAAUUUUGGACAAUGGGGGCAACCCUGAUCGAGCCAUGCCGCGUGCGGGAAGAAGGCCUUCGGGUUGUAAACCGCUUUUGUUCGGGAAGAAAUCCUCUGGGCUAAUACCCCGGGGGGAUGACGGUACCGGAAGAAUAAGCACCGGCUAACUACGUG
Molecule: ribosomal RNA, 484 nt
Filed under: uncultured bacterium
Lineage: Bacteria
Description: partial 16S ribosomal RNA
Rfam family: Bacterial small subunit ribosomal RNA
Source: RNAcentral